UGAAUGCACUAUGUAGUUAAGGAUGACCU
RNAcentral lists this non-coding RNA (29 nucleotides) under Rattus norvegicus (Norway rat). Lineage: Eukaryota; Metazoa; Chordata; Mammalia; Rodentia; Muridae. The record is from RNAcentral.